AGUUCUCGUUGAUGAUCGGUGCUUGCACCGAGAUUCAACAUGGAACGAGUGGCGGACGGGUGAGUAACACGUGGGUAACCUGCCCUUAAGUGGGGGAUAACAUUUGGAAACAGAUGCUAAUACCGCAUAGAUCCAAGAACCGCAUGGUUCUUGGCUGAAAGAUGGCGUAAGCUAUCGCUUUUGGAUGGACCCGCGGCGUAUUAGCUAGUUGGUGAGGUAAUGGCUCACCAAGGCGAUGAUACGUAGCCGAACUGAGAGGUUGAUCGGCCACAUUGGGACUGAGACACGGCCCAAACUCCUACGGGAGGCAGCAGUAGGGAAUCUUCCACAAUGGACGCAAGUCUGAUGGAGCAACGCCGCGUGAGUGAAGAAGGCUUUCGGGUCGUAAAACUCUGUUGUUGGAGAAGAAUGGUCGGCAGAGUAACUGUUGUCGGCGUGACGGUAUCCAACCAGAAAGCCACGGCUAACUACGUGCCAGCAGCCGCGGUAAUACGUAGGUGGCAAGCGUUAUCCGGAUUUAUUGGGCGUAAAGCGAGCGCAGGCGGUUUUUUAAGUCUGAUGUGAAAGCCCUCGGCUUAACCGAGGAAGCGCAUCGGAAACUGGGAAACUUGAGUGCAGAAGAGGACAGUGGAACUCCAUGUGUAGCGGUGAAAUGCGUAGAUAUAUGGAAGAACACCAGUGGCGAAGGCGGCUGUCUGGUCUGUAACUGACGCUGAGGCUCGAAAGCAUGGGUAGCGAACAGGAUUAGAUACCCUGGUAGUCCAUGCCGUAAACGAUGAAUGCUAGGUGUUGGAGGGUUUC
Molecule: ribosomal RNA, 801 nt
Filed under: uncultured bacterium
Lineage: Bacteria
Description: bacterial SSU rRNA
Rfam family: Bacterial small subunit ribosomal RNA
Source: RNAcentral